AUGUUACACCAGAAAAUAGAACAUUUCUGUGACUGCCGUGUAAGAUGUCUUGCUCCUCCGCUUUCUGCCAUGAUUGAAAGUUUCCUGAGGACUCCCCAGGAGCUGAGCAGAUGCCAGCAUCAUGGUUCCUACACAACCUGCAGAACUGGAACAGAGAUAGCGGGCAUUACUGCGUCUUCUUUCUGCCUAAAACCCAGAUAUGGUGGCUGGAGCUCUUACGACCAUCUUGCAGUGGUGAAGAUGUCAGCCGUAACAUCACUGAGCUGUUGAACCUAUGUAAGCAGCUGUCUGAACUAACUGUCAAGCUUGACAUCCUUGAACUUCUGAACCUGUGUCAGCAACUGCCAAGUUCCAAACUUCAUAUUAGGAAUAAAUAAAACGAGCAACUCAUUGUUUAAGUCCCUAUAGUCAGAUUUUGUUAUUUGUAGUUAUCCUAAUUGAUACAACUCACAAAGACACUGAAGUUGGUUUUAAUUCUGCUCAGUCUAUCUUUUUUCUUCUUUUCCUCUCCUUUACUGUAUUCUCAGUCCAUUUGUUUCUCCUCUCAGCUCUGUUUAUCCUGAUCCCUUUCCCAUCCAGUGUUUCUAUUUGAUUUCAUUUUCAUUUUGAAUUUUUCCUCCUUCCUCUCUUUCUUCCUGGAGUCUAUAGAAGCCUGUCCUGUCCAUCUAUUGUAUGAUGAAAUCUGACUCAGUCCAGGGAAAUCAGUGAUGUGGCCAGCCUUUCUUAUGUUACCCUAACUAUGACCCAUACAUAUCCCUAGAUGGUUGAGGUAAGAUAAGAAAAGAGUUUUCCUUAGGUCUUCGAAAAGUGUCCUGUAAAGAGCAAUGAUUUCCAUGCUCUAUGUGUACCCUCACAAUACUGCUGCUGAUUGCCUACCUAAUAGUCAUUCCCUCGUCCUUCCUUCCUAGCUGAACCCUGAUAUUUUUCUCUGAUAGUUGAGGCGGUUUGUGCUAAUAGAAUGAAGGCCCCUCCUCCAGCCACAAGAAAUCAUCUAUAAGUAUUCAAAGAAUAAUGCUAAUCAUAUUUCCCUUGACUGAAAUGGUCCAUUUCCAUCUAUUCAUGCAUAGUCUACCUUUUCUAUUAGCACCUUCAACAUAUGAAUCCUAGUUAUUUUAAAGUCCCUUUAUAGCCAGGCACGGUGGCUCACACCUGUAAUCCCAGCACUUUGGGAGGCUGAGGUAGGUGGAUCACCUGAGGUCGGGAGUUCAAGACCAGCCUGACCAACAUGGAGAAACCCCGUCUCUACUAAAAAUACAAAAUUAGCCGGGGUGGUGGCGCAUGCCUAUAAUCCCAGCUACUCGGGAGGCUGAGGCAGGAGAAUCGCUUGAACCGGGAGGCAGAGGUUGCUGUGAGCCGAGAUCGCGCCAUGGCACUCCAGCCUGGGAAAAAAGAGCGAAACUCUGUCUCAAAAAAAAAAAAAAAAGUCCCUUUAUGAUAAUCCCAGAAUCUCUAAGCUGUCUCUCUGUUGAUUGCUUUAUCUCUUAACAUUGGACCUUUUUCCCCCCUUUCUUGUUUAUGUCUCAUAAUUUCUACUGAAUGCCAAGCAUUUGUUUGAAGAACAGUAGGGGCUGAAGUGAAUGGUAUUCAUGCCCAGAAAUGGCCAUGCCUCUUCUUCUGUCAAGUUGUUAGUGUGGUUGAGUUGAGAUAGGUUUGGGUUUUGUUACUGCUAUCGUUACUUGUAGUGUGCCACAGACUUUGGAUUCCUCUGGUGGGAUGCUGUCUUUAGCUCUUGCUCAGUGGGAGGCCUUGGAUACUAGAGUACAUUUUUCUGCUUUUGCUUCACUCUCAGAUUUCAAC
Long non-coding RNA from Papio anubis (olive baboon), 1797 nucleotides. The record is from Ensembl. Lineage: Eukaryota; Metazoa; Chordata; Mammalia; Primates; Cercopithecidae.